Molecule: ribosomal RNA, 153 nt
Filed under: Triticum aestivum (bread wheat)
Lineage: Eukaryota; Viridiplantae; Streptophyta; Magnoliopsida; Poales; Poaceae
Description: partial small subunit ribosomal RNA
Source: RNAcentral
AUGGCAGUUUCGAGAGCGCUCGUCCUCGGCGUCCUGCUGGCGAUCGCCGUCGCCAAUGCCGAGGCAGCGUCCGUCGUGGUCGGCCAGGUCAAGUGCACCGACUGCACCAGGAAGAACUUGAAGGCCGAGGAAGCCUUCAAGGGUAAGCGCUAG